Sus scrofa (pig) is the source of this 685-nucleotide non-coding RNA. NCBI's taxonomy places the organism in Eukaryota, Metazoa, Chordata, Mammalia, Artiodactyla, Suidae. The record is from RefSeq and is a predicted model, not a curated record.
AAAAGGAGAGCUGAAAGCUUUACUCUCCGAUCAGAGAAUGAAGGAGUGGCAGCCUGUGCUAUAGAGCACAUGCUCUCCCAGACGGGCUGUGGGAGUGGCUACUUUGUAGGAAUCUCAGGUGCACGGAGGGAGGGCGCGGAGUUCUUCCUAUGCAGGCGCAGCUGUGCUGCUCAAGCUGCAGACGCGGUGCUGAGGGCACCGUCUCUGCGCAGGGCCGCUGCCGCCAUCUUGGAUUGAGUGUCGUUCUGUGCUUUUGCUGAGCUGAGGUGGCGGCGCAGCUGUUUUGCACCAGCGACCCUGGGCUGGAGAGCCAGGGACGGGGCCUUGGCCUGAGACCCCUGUGAGCAGGUGACACGAGAUUGAGCCCCAAGGGAAAGAAGAAGGGUUUAUCGACGGGCCCCUAAAACUUGGUCUCCUCAAAGAUUUUUUGGUUGUGGAUGAAUGUAAGGUGAGGUGUGUGCUUUCAAGGACCUGUUUUCAAGUGUGCCUUGGGAUUUCUCUGUUUCAAAAAUGGACCAAAAGAAUUUUGAUGAGGAGUAUAUCACUGCAAUCAAUGACAGAGUGAAGAUACCACUAUUUCAUCAAAUGUUUCUUUUAAACUGACCUACUUUGUCUUAUUUCAGAGUGAUUUCAGUUCGGCCUCACUGUAAAAUAAAUGUGCAUCCUGAGUAAAACAAGUGGUAAC